CUCCCUGUAGCUCAACUGGACAGAGCGAUUGCCUUCUAAGCAGUAGGUUGCAGGUUCGAGUCCUGCCAGGGAGA
This 74-nucleotide transfer RNA is filed under the name Candidatus Nealsoniibacteriota bacterium. RNAcentral describes it as "Candidatus Nealsonbacteria bacterium tRNA-Arg". It matches the Rfam family "tRNA". Rfam says of the family: Transfer RNA (tRNA) molecules are approximately 80 nucleotides in length. Their secondary structure includes four short double-helical elements and three loops (D, anti-codon, and T loops). Further hydrogen bonds mediate the characteristic L-shaped molecular structure. tRNAs have two regions of fundamental functional importance: the anti-codon, which is responsible for specific mRNA codon recognition, and the 3' end, to which the tRNAs corresponding amino acid is attached (by aminoacyl-tRNA synthetases). tRNAs cope with the degeneracy of the genetic code in two manners: having more than one tRNA (with a specific anti-codon) for a particular amino acid; and 'wobble' base-pairing, i.e. permitting non-standard base-pairing at the 3rd anti-codon position. The record is from RNAcentral. Lineage: Bacteria; Candidatus Nealsoniibacteriota.